Molecule: ribosomal RNA, 97 nt
Filed under: uncultured bacterium
Lineage: Bacteria
Description: partial 16S ribosomal RNA
Rfam family: Bacterial small subunit ribosomal RNA
Source: RNAcentral
CACCGCCCGUCACACCAUGGGAGCCAGCUGUACCGGAAGUCGGUGCGUUAACCCGCAGGGGAGAUAGCCGCCUAUGGUAUGACUGGUGACUGGGGUG